Molecule: non-coding RNA, 30 nt
Filed under: Homo sapiens (human)
Lineage: Eukaryota; Metazoa; Chordata; Mammalia; Primates; Hominidae
Source: RNAcentral
UCUAAAGCUCUGCAUUUAGCUGCCUGUGAC